AUGGGUGAUAAGGGAGGAGACAACCAUUCGGAAGUGACUGACUUCAUUCUUGCAGCAUCAGGGUCCGUCCAGAGUUCCACAGUCUCCUCUUCCUGCUAUUCCUGAUCGUUUAUGGGAUGGUCCUUCUGGGAAACCUUAGUAUGAUUGGCAUCAUUGUGACUGAUCCCCAGCUAAACACACCAAUGUAUUUCUUCCUAGGCAAUCUCUCCAACACUGACCUCUCCUACUCCACUGUUAUUGUACCCAGAGCCAUGGUCAACAUCCUGUCUCAGAAAAAGACCAUAUCCUUUGCAGGUUGUGUGGCUCAGCUCUUUCUUUAUGCACUUUUCAUGGUAACAGAGGCCUUUGUCUUGGCAGCCAUGGCCUAUGACCAUUUCAUUGCUAUCUGCAACCUGCUCCUCUAUACUGUCCACAUGUCAAGAAGUCUCUGUAUCCAGUUGGUGGCUGGUUCUUAUCUCCAUGGCUGCGUCAGUUCCAUUCUUCAAAUCAGUGUAACAUUCUCAAAUGUCCUUCUGUGCCUCUCGAGUCAUUGAUCACUUCUACUAUGAUUCAAACCCGAUUGAGAAGAUCUCCUGUUCCAAUGUCUUUAUCAAUAAGAUGGUGUCACUUGGUUUGGCUAUCCUCUUUAUUUGCCCACAAUAGUUGUCACUGUAGUAUCUUACAUGAUAUUGUGUCCACAGUUUUAAAGAUCUGCUCCAGCGAAGGAAGGUGGAAAGGCUUCUCCACUUGCAGCUCCCAUCUGGGGGUUGUAAGUUUGCUCUAUGGGGCUGUCUCCUUUGUCUACCUCACACCGCCAAAUAACCCAGAACUUCGUAAAGUGGCUUCAGUAUGUUACAUUUUAUUCACACCUAUGCUGAACCCUUUACUCUACUCUCUAAGAAAUAAAGAUGUUAAAGAUGCCAUGAGAAAAGUCGUAUGGAAGAAAAAAGUUUUACUCUAAAUAUAUUUCCACUUGACUUACUGUUUCUUGCAUC
RNA transcript from Lipotes vexillifer (Yangtze River dolphin), 974 nucleotides. It is a transcript of the gene named olfactory receptor 9K2-like, with no coding region annotated. The transcript has a single exon. Lineage: Eukaryota; Metazoa; Chordata; Mammalia; Artiodactyla; Lipotidae. The record is from RefSeq and is a predicted model, not a curated record.